This 900-nucleotide ribosomal RNA is filed under the name uncultured bacterium. RNAcentral describes it as "bacterial SSU rRNA". It matches the Rfam family "Bacterial small subunit ribosomal RNA", at positions 100 to 1031 of the family's 1533-position model. The record is from RNAcentral.
GGACGGGUGAGUAACGCGUGGGAAUGUGCCCUUCUCUGCGGAAUAGCCUCUGGAAACGGAGAGUAAUACCGCAUACGCCCUUUCGGGGGAAAGAUUUAUCGGAGAAGGAUCAGCCCGCGUCUGAUUAGGUAAUUGGUGGGGUAACGGCCUACCAAGCCUACGAUCAGUAGCUGGUUUGAGAGGAUGAUCAGCCACACUGGAACUGUGACACGGUCCAGACUCCUACGGGAGGCAGCAGUAGGGAAUCUUAGACAAUGGGCGAAAGCCUGAUCUAGCCAUGCCGCGUGUGUGACGAAGGCCCUAGGGUCGUAAAGCACUUUCGCCAGGGAUGAUAACGACAGUACCUGGUAAAGAAACCCCGGCUAACUCCGUGCCAGCAGCCGCGGUAAUACGGAGGGGGUUAGCGUUGUUCGGAAUUACUGGGCGUAAAGCGCGCGUAGGCGGACCAUUAAGUUAGAGGUGAAAUCCCAGGGCUCAACCCUGGAACUGCCUUUAAUACUGGUGGUCUUGAGUUCGAGAGAGGUGAGUGGAAUUCCGAGUGUAGAGGUGAAAUUCGUAGAUAUUCGGAGGAACACCAGUGGCGAAGGCGGCUCACUGGCUCGAUACUGACGCUGAGGUGCGAAAGUGUGGGGAGCAAACAGGAUUAGAUACCCUGGUAGUCCACACCGUAAACGAUGAAUGCCAGUCGUCGGCAAGCAUGCUUGUCGGUGACACACCUAACGGAUUAAGCAUUCCGCCUGGGGAGUACGGUCGCAAGAUUAAAACUCAAAGGAAUUGACGGGGGCCCGCACAAGCGGUGGAGCAUGUGGUUUAAUUCGAAGCAACGCGCAGAACCUUACCAACCCUUGACAUCCUCGUCGCGGUUACCAGAGAUGGUUUCCUUCAGUUCGGCUGGACGAG